Molecule: ribosomal RNA, 247 nt
Filed under: uncultured bacterium
Lineage: Bacteria
Description: partial 16S ribosomal RNA
Rfam family: Bacterial small subunit ribosomal RNA
Source: RNAcentral
AGGGUGCAAGCGUUACUCGGAAUUACUGGGCGUAAAGCGUGCGUAGUCGGCUUUUCAAGUCGGGUGUGAAAGCCCCGGGCUCAACCUGGGAAUGGCAUUGGAAACUGGCUGACUGGAGUGCGGUAGAGGGUAGUGGAAUUCCCGGUGUAGCAGUGAAAUGCGUAGAUAUCGGGAGGAACAUCCGUGGCGAAGGCGACUACCUGGACCAGCACUGACACUGAGGCACGAAAGCGUGGGGAGCAAACAG